Molecule: transfer RNA, 76 nt
Filed under: Acinetobacter baumannii
Lineage: Bacteria; Pseudomonadati; Pseudomonadota; Gammaproteobacteria; Moraxellales; Moraxellaceae
Description: tRNA-Lys
Rfam family: tRNA
About the family: Transfer RNA (tRNA) molecules are approximately 80 nucleotides in length.
Source: RNAcentral
GGGUCGUUAGCUCAGUUGGUUAGAGCAGCGGACUUUUAAUCCGUUGGUCGCCGUCGUCGCGCGCGACGACCCACCA